AUACGUAGGUGACAAGCGUUAUCCGGAUUUACUGGGCGUAAAGGGCGUGUAGGCGGUCUUGCAAGUCAGAAGUGAAAUUCCUGGGCUCAACUCGGGCGCUGCUUCUGAAACUGCAGGACUUGAGUGCUGGAGGGGAUAGCGGAAUUCCUAGUGGAGCGGUAAAAUGCGCAGAUAUUAGGAAGAACACCGGUGGCGAAGGCGGCUAUCUGGACAGUAACUGACGCUGAGGCGCGAAAGCGUGGGGAGCAAACAGGAUUAGAUCCCCUGGUAGUCCACGCCGUAAACGAUGAAUACUAGGUGUAGGGGGUAUCGACUCCCUCUGUGCCGCAGUUAACACAAUAAGUAUUCCGCCUGGGGAGUACGGCCGCAAGGUUGAAACUCAAAUGAAUUGACGGGG
RNAcentral lists this ribosomal RNA (397 nucleotides) under uncultured bacterium. RNAcentral's name for it is "partial 16S ribosomal RNA". It matches the Rfam family "Bacterial small subunit ribosomal RNA", at positions 523 to 918 of the family's 1533-position model. The record is from RNAcentral.